GACGAACGCUGGCGGCGUGCAUAACACAUGCAAGUCAAGGGGGUCGAGUAGCAAUACUGGCAACCGGCGAACGGGUGCGUAACACGUAAGCGACCUACCUCAAUGUGGGGCGAUAGCCGGCCUAACGGCCGGGUAAUUCCGCAUGUGAUCUUGGAGGGGCAUCUCUCCGGGAUGAAACCAGUAAUGGGCAUUGAGAGGGGCUUGCGGCCUAUCAGCUUGUUGGUGAGGUAACGGCUCACCAAGGCUACGACGGGUAGCUGGUCUGAGAGGACGACCAGUCACACUGGAACUGAGACACGGUCCAGACACCUACGGGUGGCAGCAGUCGAGAAUUUUGACAAUGGGGGAAACCCUGAUCGAGCGACGCCGCGUGGAGGAUGAAGGUC
This 386-nucleotide ribosomal RNA is filed under the name uncultured bacterium. Its description in RNAcentral is "bacterial SSU rRNA". It matches the Rfam family "Bacterial small subunit ribosomal RNA", at positions 28 to 416 of the family's 1533-position model. The record is from RNAcentral.